Styela clava is the source of this 2756-nucleotide non-coding RNA. Lineage: Eukaryota; Metazoa; Chordata; Ascidiacea; Stolidobranchia; Styelidae. The record is from RefSeq and is a predicted model, not a curated record.
UAUAUCAUAAUGGAUGUUUCAUCUAUAGCAGACGCAACGAAUAACUUGAUAGUAUAUCUGGCAACAAUCAUAGAGAUUGCUCAUUAUACUCUGGUAAUUUACGGAGUACGGAAUGACUGGGAUGUCAACAAGGCAAGGAAACAGCCAGUUGCCACAUGGUUGAUGUCGAUAGCUUGUUGCUACGGUGGAGGGAUGAUCAUAAGUGUUUGUGUAGGAAAACCUGCUCUGACUCCUCUAUCCAAUAAUCAGUCAGUUCUCAUGAUGACAAUAGUAUGGUGGCACAUCUUCUACUCUCCCAAAGAUGUCAUUUAUAAUUUGUUGUCAUGGAAACCAGCGAUGUUAGUGAUUGUUCUGGGAAAAGAAAUGAUCCGAACAAGAAAAAUUAUAAAAGGAGUGAAACUUGGUCGUGGAGCUUUCCCAGACUCUCUCUUGAUCUGUACUAUUCUUGGAAUGUUUGGAGCCUGCGGAGGGGGGUUCGUCAAAAAUGCUGCAACAUUUGUGAGGAAACAAUGGAAUCAUGAGACCGUGAAAUCUAUUCAUUUGGCGACAGUAACAAAGCUCAGUCUUCUGUUCUCUCUACUUUACAAUCUACAACUUCUAGGAAUCCUGCCGAUCUCAUUCAACACUGUUGUUCUUCUACAACUAACAGUGAUGUUCCUGAUAUCGGCUUCUUCCAAGUUUGGCGUCAACUUUGAUCCGUUCCAUCGAAUUGAGAAGAUUAUCACAAGUUGCGUGAUAGAUUAUUCUGCGUAUGUGGGAGCUGAGGAGGAAAAAUCCCCUCAGAAAAAAGCCGGGGACGAAAAAUCCCCUGAGAAGAAAAAAGAUUCUUUGAAAAAGAAAGAAUAAGCCCACAGCUUUGCCGCAAAUUGAAAAUGUUUCAUCUCAAAGAAGUGGAUCCGACAUUAUUUUGACUUGAAAUGCAGUAUCUGACAGAAACGUUCUAUACAACAUAGAAAUCUUCUGCGAUGAUGUGAAACUUGGAGAGACUCACACUACAGAAGUUCCUCAGUAUAGAAUGAAGUCACCCACACUUGGUAAAACAUAUCGUUUCGAAGUCUGGGCCAAGGAUGAAUGGGGAAACUCUGGCAUCAAAACGCAGUCAAAGAAUGUUAUAAAAGAACGCAGAGGACCUCCACCUAUCAACUUUGCUGGAGCAAAUAUUGGGAAUCUGCAUCUACCAGAAAGAGGAAAUCAGAACAAUCAGCAAAUAGUAAGAUUUGAGGGCAAAAUGAACAAGAAGAAGCUGGUGCAGUAGGUGGAAACCAAGCAAUAGAAUAAACCAAUAAAGCAUGAAGGUGAUGACGAUUCCGAUGAUCUUGAGAAGUUUCCCAACUGACCACGUUCUAAAGACAUUGCUAAAAUACAAAUGUUUCAAUUAUGUCGUAUAUUCAACAGUAAAUUCCUCCAAUAAUCUCAGACUGAAAGACGAAUGAUCCUGUGGUAUCCUGCAACACAUUAUGGACAUGCAUAUGUUGUGAAGGGCUUAAAUAUUAGAGAAGACUAGAUAGUCUAGUCCAAUAAUAGUAGAAUUAGGGGAAAAAUUUCAUAAUUUUUUUUUUAUGUGAAAUGCUGAUUUUGCAUAGGCUUGGAUUGUGAAACAUAGUAAUUGACUCUUAGUCAUAUGCACCACCCUUCAGCAACGAUUUCGGCAAUUUGGGUCAUCCCUCACAAGAUUUGACCUCUUGAAAUGACCUCAGAGCAUUUUGUAAAAUUCUGCACCAAAUCCUGAUUUUCAUGUUUUGUCAUACAAAUUCUUGUCAUUUCAAGAUUUUUUUAUUAUUUUUUCCUAUUAGUUUUAAAAAUUGGGUUGGGUGCUGCAUUAAUGCUUUAGCUUCUUAUGUACUAUAUUUAGUGAGCCAUAACAAACUCACUUUAAGCUUUUCCAGAUAUCAUGUGUAUUGUUUUUAUGUCGCACUCAUUCAGAAAUUUUUGUGUAAUUAUAAUUUUAUGGUAUGUCAACAACUUUCUUUAUUUAAGUCAGGUUUUGAGUUUUUUCUCAUAAUUGACAACUGCUGUACUCAAUCUUGCUGUAUUUAAAUCGCCCUUAAUCCUUCUUGUUGUCAAUAGGCUUUCUUUGUAACCUCACAUUUGAUUAUAUUUUGAAAUAUGAAAAAUAAAAGAACAAAAAAAUCAAUAAAAACUAUAAGUUAUUAACCUAAUCGUAACUGAUUUAAUAGCCAUUGUUCGAAUUUUUAUUAAUUUUUGUUGUAAAAUGCAUUAUUACCUUUCGCUCUUAUAUUUUUCAAUUAUUGUCAACUAUUGAUGUCUAUUAUUUCUAUGUAUAUUUCAGAACAUCCCUAUAAAGUUAUGAUAUUCUGAUUUGUCGGCAAACGCGCCAUAAAAUAUGCAUUUCAUGACUGCUAUAAUAACCGUUGGACUAGACUGAAAUGUUUUUGACUUUCUGUUGUGAUUUGAUAUUGUGUUAGUCGGUAGCUGAGGACUCUUUUGGAGCCCAUUGUAACGUUGCCUCUAAUCUAUGAAAAAUAACAAGAGAUGUACUAUAUUAUAAUAGUGAUACAUGUAGAUUCUACAUUCACUUGUUUUGCAAUGCUUAUUACGAAAUUUUCAUGCACCGAAAUCAGCAUUUCUAGUUUAUAUUAUUCUCUAUAACUCCGUGUGUUUCUGUUUGUAUAAAGCGAAUAGUAGUAACUGAUGAUGAGAAUUCAUUUUUAAAAUUCUCAUUGAGACUUGUACUUGAAUGUGUAAUAUUUCGAUUAUUGAGUAUCUCUUGUCGAAAAAUAUUUAUGAUUUGAAUU